RNAcentral lists this transfer RNA (90 nucleotides) under Caloramator australicus RC3. It matches the Rfam family "tRNA". Rfam says of the family: Transfer RNA (tRNA) molecules are approximately 80 nucleotides in length. Lineage: Bacteria; Bacillati; Bacillota; Clostridia; Eubacteriales; Clostridiaceae. The record is from Rfam by way of RNAcentral.
GGAGAGAUGUCCGAGAGGUCGAAGGAGCACGACUGGAAAUCGUGUGAACCCCUAUAAAGGGUUCCGCGGGUUCGAAUCCCGCUCUCUCCG